Molecule: long non-coding RNA, 5905 nt
Organism: Centrocercus urophasianus (Greater sage-grouse)
Lineage: Eukaryota; Metazoa; Chordata; Aves; Galliformes; Phasianidae
Exons: 4
Source: RefSeq, a predicted model, not a curated record
GCAACGGGGCGGCUCUCCGGGCACAGGGGCGGCUGCUGCCGUCGGUCUGCGCUCGCGGGUUUGAGGCCGGUGCCGAAAGCCGAAGGAAAGGUGGAAGGCUCCCUACGUCCCCAGGGGAAAGUCAGCGACUGCCCCCUCCUCUCACGGCAUUUCACUGCUAAAUCAAAAGCCAACGUGUAGCAGAAGAGGAUGAAAGGAGAUAACGACUUUCACAGACCGGGAGGUGAACGUGAGGGAAUGGGACCUGCAAAGGAUCAGCAGAGAUUUUGAGAGCUGAAGGCCUCACCAGAAUGAACAGAAUCAGUGGGUUAUAGUGUGUGAGCACAAAGUCUUUCUCCCGCUCUCUUCCCUGUCCCCGACUCCAAGGUACAGAACCUUCUAUCAUGUCCCUGAUCUUCAUGCAGGAUCUUCUUCCCUUUUUGUUGCUGGAGAACAAAAUGACCUCCUCCUGCUAACUCCUGGACCUUUCUUUAGUCCAUCUCUCUGAGCUAUGAGGGCAGCAGAAGCUCCUGGGUAUCCUGCUGUGAUGGGACAACACUCAUCCCAGUGGGCAGGGGCUGGGUCCCUCGGUGCGAAGAAGUGGCAGAGGAGAGCUAGCUAGAAGGGCUGGAAAGGCAGUGUACUGGGGAACCCUCCUGCCAUAAUAAGGGCAGUAACUGCUCUUGUAUACCAACCAAAUGGAAACUGAAAACUAAUAAAGCCAACAGUAAGUGACUUUCAAGAUCAGAAAACAGGUUUACAGUUUGUAAGAGUGCCAUGGAACAUGAACUACCUCACAUUUUUGGGGGUCAGUGGAGGAAUCUGUCUUUCUCACCUACAAAGAUCAACUUGGGUGAGAAGCCGAGGCUCCAAAACCAGCUCCUACACAUGAUGCUAUUAAAACAUGUUCCUCAGUUCCAUAUGGAUAUUGAGAAUGCAAAUGGAUUCGGAAUAGGUUUGUCCAUCAGUAAGAGAAAAGAGCCUCAUUUUCCCUUUGAGCCCAAGAAACAGUGAGACACAAUGAGCUUUUUUCUAUUUGAAGAGGUUUUAUUAUUACUUUCUAAGCUUUCAAAUUUUUUGGAGAGUUUGUGUAAAAUGUUAGAAGCUUUCCACAGUAGUUUUUAUGGGUUGAGUGUCUAAUUAUUUCUCAUUUCUAAGUUUCACAGAUAGGAAUCUCAGCUCACAGAAAGAUUAAAUCCACAACAUGCUCUGUCUCGCACUGCAGUUCCCCAGGCUUGAGCUGGGAGCUCAACCUUGUGCUGCAUGGAAAUGCAUGAAAAGGUUUUACUAACUUCUGUGCUGGCAGAUGCUCACAUCUCCAGCAGGGAGGCCAAACCUCUGAUGACGAUUCUCUUCUUCUGGUCAAAAUGUCAUCUCUAGCAUCUGCUACCUGACCCUAACUGCAGAAGAGCUUCAUUCACUGGAAUGGCAGAUUUUUCUAACUCAUGCAAGAUGCUUUCCUCCAGAAUGGGAUUUUGUUUAGAGAAAACUCUCAGAGGAUGAGGUUUAUCCCAUGCAAUUCUUCCCUGACACAAAGCUGGGGGAUUGGAUAGGCAGCCAGCAAGCGAGCUGCUGUGGCAGCAGGGAGCACCACCAUCUCCAAGGUACACCAUGCUCCUCCAAGCUCUGUCCAAAUGCAAGAAGCUCCCAGGACAGAGCUGAAACCAAGAUGUUCUCCUUCAGCUGCUGCAGGGAGAUGUGCAAGAGUGAGGUGACUCUGUCUACAACUGUUUGCUGUGAGAAACUUAGAACUGCAAAGGAAUGUGAAUUCUAGGGAGGGGAGUCAGAAAGGAAUAGUCUUUACAUCAUGACAGACAUCUGUGUAAUUUGCCAAAAACCCACAAGAUUUUUGUCUUCUGUAACAGGGGAGGAUGUUACUCCCUAAAAUAUGUCAACAGGUGAGAUUUCUUGCCAACUUAACAACAGCAAAUUACAUAAGUGAUUAGGAAAAAAAUAAUUUCCAGUAAAACUAGAUAUAUUGCUACUGCAUCUAGUGAAAUCUCUGCACUGUCAUUUUAGCAGCUCUUCUCAGCAAUUCAGAGUAUUUCCACUUGAUGGCACCAAAUUUUUUUUUUCCAACUUCAAAGACUCCUUUAACAAAAGAGAUGCUGAAUUGCAAAGAAAUAAUCAGGACAAAUGCAUGUUUUUCUUUCUGAGCACAUUUCUUAAAAAUCUGGAGGUAUUUUUUUUGGUUGUUGUUGUUCUUGUUUUUGUUUUUUUUUAAUAAGGAAUACAGUGAAUUUGAUGCGGUGGCUUUGUCUCUUCUAUUUGACCAUGACCACACAGUCAUUUGAGCUACUUACUUUUCUUCUCUGCUUAGAGUGUAUCUCCAUUCAGUGAAGGUUGUGUUUAUCAUAUUGUUAUAAAGUAGGCUCCUGAAUAUGGAUGAAUCAUGCAUUUUAAAAUAAAUUUUGUUUCUGUCCCUAUCUUUGAAACUCGUCCUUUGCUUAUCUUAAAAAUGAAGGGCACUCAAAUAGAUUAUCACAAAAUAAAAGGCAAGUUUUUAAGGGUUGAAUAUUAAUUUUGACUCAUAUUCUAAACUGUCUGUUGCUUUUCAAUAGUAAUAUCUGAUGAGCAAUUCUCAGUAAGAUAACUACUGUAAAAACAACUUCUAUAAGCUUUACUUGUAUGUUAUAUACAGGCAGUAGAAGCACAAACAAGCAAAAAUGUAGUUUAAGUAGUUGUCCAAUUCUUAGAGAUUUCACAAGCUUUAGGCAAUGUUCAGCAUCGUGUACAAUGUACCAGAUAAUAAUAGAUUAGGUACAGGAUAAUAUCAGAUUAGAGUAAAUAUCCAUUUAUUGUUUCUCAUCUCAUCUCCCAGCAAUAAGCCAUGUGAGGCAGAGCCAAGUCUUGUGUCUGGGUACCUGCAUGGGGGGUUGUCCUCUCUCCCCUAGGUUCGUGAUUAAACCUCUUGGAUACAGCAGUGACAUAAACUAUGCACAGAACCAUCUGUUGUGGUUCUACAACUGCAAACCAGCAUUUUAGCUGUGUCUAAUGAAAUCUGUCUCAUUUCUCUCAGCAAAACAGAGAAUGCAGUGCAGCAUUGAUACAGGGAAGGCCUCAGGGAGUCCUGGCCAGAAGAGGAUAGGGAGGCAGGGACAGAUCAGAGUUCGGUGCAUGUCCUCAUCCAAAAUUAGGAUAUCAGUGAAGGGUUUCUAAGACAAAAGGCAAUCCCAAGAUUCUUCUGCCACAGACUGCAUUUUGUGCUAGAAUUUAUGUGAGUACAGUCUGCAAUGAACCUUCUAUACAGAGGUGUGUGCGUGCAAAACAAGUAGAAUGUGCUGCUGUUUUGGGCAGGUCCAAAUCAGCUGCUCUGUGCAAAGCUAGGCAGACAUUUCCCAGAUAUGUGACAGCUACUGUCACACACUACAGAGCUGCCCUGUGCCCAUGGGCAGUCACUCAUAUAUGCAGAUACUCAGCAUGGUUGGAGCUGCCUGCUGCCAUGACUUGGCAGCCAGAUGUCCUGGUGUCUCAUUCAGCUUACAGCAAAGAGGACUUCUUUGGAAAAGCUUCAUCCAGAGGCUCCCCUCCCCUUCUGUCACCUGCCCUCAAGUUUUAAAUUGUUCCCAGUCCAGUCCUGCGUCUGCCUCUAAAGUACUUUUUUGGUUCUUGAAUGUUAAAGAAUUGUUCAGUUCAACUUUUCCAUCUAGCUCCAUUUUACAAAUCUAUGAUCUGACUUAUUUCCUAUUUCAGAAGUAUCUUUCAGCUCUAAUUUCCACAGUUUCUUCUGUGAGAAAGCAAGCCACUGGCCCAGUCCUGGUUUCCACCAGUAAUAUUUUCACACAAUCUUAGCUCCAUAUGAGACCUAUGCUUGAGGAUAUGAACAUUUCGAGUAGUUAAGGUUCUUGAGCCAGGACCUGAACUCAGCCACUCAGAUUAAUUGGUCUCAUAGGCUGGCCUUCCUCCUUAGAAGAACUGCAUGGAAGAAAGUCCAAUACUGAAAACAUGGAAGCACUCUUCAUGGAAAUACAGUUACUGUUUUAAACAAGUCUUUUAUUGUUUCUGCAUAACAACAUCACUUAUUAUAGCUAACUAUUGAAAAACAAACAAACAAAAGCCAUUUUCAUUUGAUUUCAUGUUCUUGCUCUAUAAUUUUGUCAUCCACAAUCCAGGAAGAAAACUCUCUCACUCCAGUGCAGUGAAUUACUACAUGACAUUUGUGAUGUUUCAUUUCCCACCAAAAAAAAAAAAAAAAAAAAAAAAAUUCAAGAGGCUGUAAAAAAAGCAUGAGUCUCCUUUCUGUCUUGUAGAGAGGGUGGAAAAUGCAAAGAACAAUCAUUACUAGCCAGAGCUUUAUUAGACAUGAAAAAUAGCAUCUGGAAGCAAUGCUUGUCUUUUCCUCAGCAAAGAAAACUGCCAGCACCACAGCUUCUUCCAACACCACUUUGAGCAUCUAGAGUCCAACCCAAAGCAUCUCCACCUGCAAAGUCCUCCAGCACAACUCCACUUCUGCCCUACACGAGCUUAGUCAGCAGCUGUGUCUUCCCUAGCAUAGAAGUCUGACAGCCAAAUUUGUUUUUCUUGGGGAUGUUUAUCUCACUUAAACCCCUAAUUUUCUCUAUACAAUAGAGAUCAGUCAUGUUAACUCACAAUUAAAUCAGGAGUUAAUCCCAAAAAGAAAACUCUUAAUAACUCUUUCCCCUCCUACGUUCCAGCAAACACUUUUGCCUAAUAAUAUAUCCAUGAUCUGUCACAUUUUAGCAACUAUUUACUGUGGUUCCACCUAAAUUUUGUAUCCCCUCAUUAUUAUCACUGAAAAUUAUUUAAAGUUAGAAAUAGAGUCAUGAAGCAAACAUGCAUGCCAAUGCUUAAGAGUUCUGCAGGACAGGCAUUCCACCCAUGUACUGCUGUUUCUUAUUUCGUGUGUGACAAGGACUUCAUGUGUAAUUACUGAUGGUGUGAAACUUUGAAAACUACAGAUUCUGCAUUUAGAUUGUAGAUGAUUCUGGCUGCUUUGCUGCUAUACAAGGGUAUUUUUGCCCUGAUUGUGGUUGUCCCAAUCACAUCUGGGUGCCACACUCUAAGUUCUCUAAGAUGCAUAGUCUGUGCCAUUCUGCAUCUAUACUAAUUACAGUGGCAGAAGCCAGGCUAGACCCAGCACCCUGCGUGUUUUGCCUUUCCCAGGUGAGAAAACAGCUGACCUUCUCCAAAGCUGGUGCAGAAGCCCAGCACAUGACCCUGUGGAGGGUGCAGGAGCUGAGGCCCUGAGACAGGCACAAGCCAGGGUGCAGGCCUGUUUACUGCAGCUGCAGGUUGUUAGCAAGCCUUCCAGUGCAUCCCUCCACAGAUCUCUAUCACUGUAAGCUGCCUCACCGAGAUGCUAACGUACAAGCAGAGACAAAUUAACACUGACACUGGCUUUUGUGCUAAUGCCAGAAAUGUGUUUUGCAAGAGCAGAAGCUGCUGAAGAAGGAGAAGUGGAAGUAGAGGUGGAAGGAGUUAAUCUGUGCAGGAUCUGAAGCAGCUAAGUGGUUGGCAAUCCAGGAAGCUGCUCACUUCCAAAUGGUAUUGGGCAAAAGACAGAGAUAUCAGAGGAGUAAGGGUCUCAAGUGGCAAGUUCACUGAAGCAGAGGAAAAAUCCAGAUAUGUUGGUUUUGCUGUUUCAGUCUUAUUGUUCUGUCAAGAGAAAGACCUUUCAUACAAAGAAGUGCUUUCUAUGAGAUAAAUCAGGAACCCACAGAGGCAGCUCUGUAUGUGAGUAACCCAGUUAUACCUAUUUCACUGGUAAAUGUGACAUUAUGGUGACUAAGACCACAAGAGGAUGAGACACAAAAGAAAUACAGAAGAGAAGAGAUUACAAAAAUAUACAGUAAUAUCAGUGAUAUACAUAUGAAGUAGAAAGGUAUUAACAAGCAAGAUCGUCCUGGAUGACAUGCUUGAUCACAUAAGGAAUGAGCAUGUGAUCUCAGACAGCCAGCAUGGCUUC